UACGUAGGGUGCCAGCGUUAAUCGGAAUUACUGGGCGUAAAGCGUGCGCAGGCGGCUUGGCAAGAAAGAUGUGAAAUCCCAGGGCUUAACCUUGGAACUGCAUUUUUAACUGCCAGGCUAGAGUAUGUCAGAGGGGGGUAGAAUUCCACGUGUAGCAGUGAAAUGCGUAGAGAUGUGGAGGAAUACCGAUGGCGAAGGCAGCCCCCUGGGAUAAUACUGACGCUCAGGCACGAAAGCGUGGGGAGCAAACAGG
Molecule: ribosomal RNA, 253 nt
Filed under: uncultured bacterium
Lineage: Bacteria
Description: partial 16S ribosomal RNA
Rfam family: Bacterial small subunit ribosomal RNA
Source: RNAcentral